RNAcentral lists this ribosomal RNA (1104 nucleotides) under Elizabethkingia anophelis. RNAcentral describes it as "partial 23S ribosomal RNA". It matches the Rfam family "Bacterial large subunit ribosomal RNA", at positions 385 to 1499 of the family's 2925-position model. The record is from RNAcentral. Lineage: Bacteria; Pseudomonadati; Bacteroidota; Flavobacteriia; Flavobacteriales; Weeksellaceae.
UGAAAGGCAUAUUUGGAUGAUAAAUGAGUAGGGCGGGACACGUGAAAUCCUGUCUGAAUAUGGGGGGACCAUCCUCCAAGGCUAAAUACUCCUGAAAGACCGAUAGUGAACAAGUACUGUGAAGGAAAGGUGAAAAGCACUUCGAAUAGAAGGGUGAAAUAGAACCUGAAACCGUACGCCUACAAGCGGUCGGAGCAGCGUUAAUGCUGUGACGGCGUGCCUUUUGCAUAAUGAGCCUACGAGUUAAUCUUACUAGCGAGGUUAAGGACUUAAGGUCCGGAGCCGUAGCGAAAGCGAGUCUGAAUAGGGCGAAUAGUUAGUGGGAUUAGACGCGAAACCUUGUGAUCUACCCAUGGGCAGGUUGAAGCUUUGGUAACACAAAGUGGAGGACCGAACCGGUUGACGUUGAAAAGUCUUCGGAUGACCUGUGGGUAGGGGUGAAAGGCCAAUCAAACUGGGAGAUAGCUCGUACUCCCCGAAAUGCAUUUAGGUGCAGCGUCGAUAUAGUUUAUUAGAGGUAGAGCUACUGAUUGGAUGCGGGGGUUUCAUCGCCUACCAAUUCCUGACAAACUCCGAAUGCUAAUAAAUGAUUGUCGGCAGUGAGGGCAUGGGUGCUAAGGUCCAUGUCCGAGAGGGAAAGAACCCAGACCAACAGCUAAGGUCCCUAAAUAUAUGCUAAGUUGAAAGAACGCGGUUGGACUGCAUUGACAGCUAGGAUGUUGGCUUGGAAGCAGCCAUUCAUUUAAAGAGUGCGUAACAGCUCACUAGUCGAGCGGUCCGGCAUGGAUAAUAAUCGGGCAUAAGCAUAUUACCGAAGCUAUGGCAGUAUUUAAUACUGGGUAGGGGAGCAUUCUAUUUGCGCCGAAGCAGUACUGUGAGGUAUUGUGGAGCGGAUAGAAAAGAAAAUGUAGGCAUAAGUAACGAUAAAGGGGGCGAGAAACCCCCUCACCGAAAGACUAAGGUUUCCUCAGCCAUGCUAAUCAGCUGAGGGUUAGUCGGGGCCUAACGCGAAGCCGACAGGCGUAGUGGAUGGACAACGGGUUAAUAUUCCCGUACCAGUAUAUUAAUAAAAGUGACGGAGUUGGAAACUAGGUGCGUACUGAC